UCUACUCUAGUCACACUGAUUUAGCCCUGAAUUGAGUGUCAGCAUUUUUCAGAACGAUGGAUCUGGAGGUCUGAUUUUUCCUGUAUUGAUGAAGAUUUGCAUAGUAUGGAAGUAACAGAAACCUAAAGGAAAAAAUCUGCUAAAAGAAUAAACUGUGUAGGCACAACAGAAAUGAAGAUUACAGAAAAAUACUGUAUUUCAUUAAGCAGAGACAGUGAAGAAACCUUGAAGAAGCAUUGUUCCCUUGCCAGUGUGACCAUUUCUCUACAACCAUUAAGUGUUGAAUUGCCAGUAAUAUGUUACUUCCAUCUGCAAAAUGUUAUGUACAUUUACAUAAUUCUUCAUAACACCAAAAUAAUUAUUUGCAGGGCAAUGAAAUGUGUUCCCUGGCCAUGAGCAUGAGACCUUUGAACAAGAGAAGAACCCGAAAAGAUUUCACAACUGAAGAAAUUAACUGCCUUUUGGAAGGAGUCCAGAAAAUGGGCAAUCACUGGAAUUUGAUUUUGUGGUCUUAUCCUUUCCAGAAAGGACGGACCAGUGUUGACCUUUCCAAGAAGUACUACAGGUUACAGAUGCAGAUGAAAAAAGCACACAAAGGACAUCAAUAACAUCAUCUGAGAGUGUUUUGCAUUUUGUUGCAGAAUUUUCAAGAACAGCCUUUGUAACAGUAAGGUAUUGCCAGAACAACUUGAGUCUUUGGAGUAUUUAGGUUGGCUUGGACUCCUGUUUUUCAGUAACAACUAACAGAAUUCUUAUGCAUUGUAAAUUUAAUUUACCAUAACUUGAAGUAAUGCUAUCAUAGGGAACAAAAUAUCAGUAAAAAUUACAGUAAUUUGGAACUUAAUUUAACCUUCUUGAGCACUUGAUUGAUGCAACUUUUGGAUUCACUUUUUGCAGCUUUCUCUAUACCAUUUGAAAGAAAUGGCUGUAUUCUAAAAUGAGUACUUUAUAUCUGAAACUGCUGUUAAUGUUGUGUCUGAAUCUGUCUCCUCUUAAUAAGUGAAAUGUUUAAAGCAGGUGGAAUAUUUUGUCAUGCAUUGAAUAUGCUGCACGUGCAGAAAAAUGUCUCUGAGAAAACACUGAAUGUGUGGUUGAACACUUGCUGCUCAGAGAAGAAAAAUCUUUCACUGCUACAGAAAUUCUGUACUCACUGUUGAGCUGAAUAGGUACUGAUAGAAUUUGGCUUCUGUUUAUAUUUGGACAGUUUUCUGUUGUAUUUUUCAAGUUAGUGAGCAGAACCACUAUUUCUGCUAAUUACACAUUUUUUAUAGGAAGCUUUACUGAAAGCCUUGGUGACUUGAUUUUUUAGUGAUAGCCUUAGUAUUUCAGUUGUAUUUUUUACUUGUUAUGAUAAAGGAAUGAUGAAUCAAUAGUUAACUUAUUAUGGAAAAGGUUUAGUUAUUGUAUUAGCACUAGAUUUUCAUUAUAAUGUGGCUCAAAUGCUUGAAAACAAGCAAGGUAACCAAAACCUGAGAGAGUUGCAAUAAAGAUGAUACCUAUGAUGCAAUAAAUAUGUCUUCCAAUAUUUUCA
Molecule: non-coding RNA, 1531 nt
Organism: Cyanistes caeruleus (blue tit)
Lineage: Eukaryota; Metazoa; Chordata; Aves; Passeriformes; Paridae
Source: RefSeq, a predicted model, not a curated record